AUGCCAGCCCGCUCAUCCAAGACCACAGAUACGCACCAUGCAGCUGAGAUGCAUCCCAACUCCAGCGCAUAUAAAUACACACACGACCCAACUCCACAACCACACACAAGUGAAGCACUUGCCUUUGAAGUUAGACCGAUCGAGCUUGCAGGUCCGAGGAGAUCAAGGAGGAGGAUGCCGUGGGACAUGAGCAAGACGUCUUGGCCAGAGGUGGUGGGCUGGCCGGCGACGCAGGCCGUGACGCAGAUCAACGCCGACAGACCCGACGUGGCGAUAGAGGUGAUCCCCAAUGGCACCACCGUCGCCCCGGGGUACAAUGCCGAGCGCGUCCGCGUCUUCUUUGCCGCCACCGGCCUCGUCGUGUCCACCCCUGCCGUCGGCUAG
This 384-nucleotide ribosomal RNA is filed under the name Triticum aestivum (bread wheat). RNAcentral's name for it is "partial small subunit ribosomal RNA". Lineage: Eukaryota; Viridiplantae; Streptophyta; Magnoliopsida; Poales; Poaceae. The record is from RNAcentral.